RNAcentral lists this transfer RNA (76 nucleotides) under Alistipes sp. An116. Its description in RNAcentral is "tRNA-Met". It matches the Rfam family "tRNA". Rfam says of the family: Transfer RNA (tRNA) molecules are approximately 80 nucleotides in length. Their secondary structure includes four short double-helical elements and three loops (D, anti-codon, and T loops). Lineage: Bacteria; Pseudomonadati; Bacteroidota; Bacteroidia; Bacteroidales; Rikenellaceae. The record is from RNAcentral. RNAcentral also lists the same sequence under 1 other name.
CGCGGGAUGGAGCAGUUGGCAGCUCGUCGGGCUCAUAACCCGAAGGUCGGAGGUUCGAGUCCUUCUCCCGCUACCA